RNAcentral lists this ribosomal RNA (666 nucleotides) under uncultured Micromonosporaceae bacterium. Its description in RNAcentral is "bacterial SSU rRNA". It matches the Rfam family "Bacterial small subunit ribosomal RNA", at positions 136 to 816 of the family's 1533-position model. Lineage: Bacteria; Bacillati; Actinomycetota; Actinomycetes; Micromonosporales; Micromonosporaceae. The record is from RNAcentral.
CUUUGGGAUAACCCUCGGAAACGGGGGCUAAUACCGGAUAUGACCUCCUGUCGCAUGGUGGGGGGUGGAAAGUUCUUUCGGCCUGGGAUGGGCUCGCGGCCUAUCAGCUUGUUGGUGGGGUGAUGGCCUACCAAGGCGACGACGGGUAGCCGGCCUGAGAGGGCGACUGGCCACACUGGGACUGAGACACGGCCCAGACUCCUACGGGAGGCAGCAGUGGGGAAUAUUGCACAAUGGGCGGAAGCCUGAUGCAGCGACGCCGCGUGAGGGAUGACGGCCUUCGGGUUGUAAACCUCUUUCAGCAGGGACGAAGCGUGAGUGACGGUACCUGCAGAAGAAGCGCCGGCCAACUACGUGCCAGCAGCCGCGGUAAGACGUAGGGCGCGAGCGUUGUCCGGAUUUAUUGGGCGUAAAGAGCUCGUAGGCGGCUUGUCGCGUCGACUGUGAAAACCCGUGGCUCAACUGCGGGCCUGCAGUCGAUACGGGCAGGCUAGAGUUCGGUAGGGGAGACUGGAAUUCCUGGUGUAGCGGUGAAAUGCGCAGAUAUCAGGAGGAACACCGGUGGCGAAGGCGGGUCUCUGGGCCGAUACUGACGCUGAGGAGCGAAAGCGUGGGGAGCGAACAGGAUUAGAUACCCUGGUAGUCCACGCUGUAAACGUUGGGCGC